This is a long non-coding RNA of Bacillus rossius redtenbacheri, 472 nucleotides long. RefSeq lists it as uncharacterized. The record is from RefSeq and is a predicted model, not a curated record. NCBI's taxonomy places the organism in Eukaryota, Metazoa, Arthropoda, Insecta, Phasmatodea, Bacillidae. The transcript has 3 exons.
GCUCCAAUUACGUACGGCUAUUAAAAUAGUUUAGCUAGGCAUCCUUAGGUUUGAGACGGCCUAGCAUCGUGCCAGAACCCUAGUCAUUAAUUAAAUAAGGAGGUAUCUGACGGUACCUUAAGCAGGAGUGUUGUUUUUAAGUAAGCAGAUUCGGCUUCUGUGACUGCCGCCGCCAGACAGUACUAGCGUAGAAAAUGGCUCCUACACCGCAACAGAAGAGCUGGUGUGUCCUGCAGUUAGCAAAAACGGGGACUCCAAUCUCUACACUACUGUGGAAGAUUGCCAUGAAAAUUAUUAAAAAAAUAUAUAGGAAAAUGAAUUGAUAAAUAAAGGACUCGAUUUGCCACAGUUCAGCAAAAUAAUGAACUAUUUUGAAGGGGAGGAAAAGCUAUAAUUUAGAAACUUCAGAAAUUACAUUGUUAUAUAAUUAGGGACCGGAAAAAUUCGCGGUUUCGAUGGCCUUCAGGAUAGA